CCUACGGGAGACAGCAGUGAGGAAUAUUGGUCAAUGGUCGGGAGACUGAACCAGCCAAGCCGCGUGAGGGAUGAAGGUACAGAGUAUCGUAAACCUCUUUUGUCAGGGAACAAAGGCGGGGACGCGUCCCCGGAUGAGUGUACCUGAAGAAAAAGCAUCGGCUAACUCCGUGCCAGCAGCCGCGGUAAUACGGAGGGCGCGAGCGUUAAUCGGAAUUACUGGGCGUAAAGCGCGCGUAGGCUGUUGUGUAAGUUGGGGGUGAAAUCCCACGGCUCAACCGUGGAACAGCCCUUGAUACUGCGCGACUUGAAUCCGGGAGAGGGUGGCGGAAUUCCAGGUGUAGGAGUGAAAUCCGUAGAUAUCUGGAGGAACAUCAGUGGCGAAGGCGGCCACCUGGACCGGUAUUGACGCUGAGGCGCGAAAGCGUGGGGAGCAAACAGGAUUAGAUACCCGAGUAGUC
Molecule: ribosomal RNA, 460 nt
Filed under: uncultured bacterium
Lineage: Bacteria
Description: partial 16S ribosomal RNA
Rfam family: Bacterial small subunit ribosomal RNA
Source: RNAcentral